GUGUCAGCAGCCGCGGUAAAACGUAGGUGGCAAGCGUUAUCCGGAUUGACUGGGCGUAAAGGGUGUGCAGGCGGGUGGUCAAGUGGUGUAUGAAAGGGCUGGGCUUAACUCAGCCAUGCUAUGCCAGACUGACCGCCUCGAGGAUGAAGCAGGCGCGUGGAAUUCCGGGUGUAGUGGUGAAAUGCGUAGAGAUCCGGAGGAACCUCAGAGGCGAAGGCGGCGCGCUGGCUCAAUCCUGACGCUCAGACACGACAGCAUGGGGAGCGAACGGGAUUAGAUACCCCAGUAGUCC
Molecule: ribosomal RNA, 292 nt
Filed under: uncultured bacterium
Lineage: Bacteria
Description: partial 16S ribosomal RNA
Rfam family: Bacterial small subunit ribosomal RNA
Source: RNAcentral